This 773-nucleotide ribosomal RNA is filed under the name uncultured Neocallimastigales. RNAcentral describes it as "partial large subunit ribosomal RNA". It matches the Rfam family "Eukaryotic large subunit ribosomal RNA", at positions 22 to 647 of the family's 3401-position model. The record is from RNAcentral. Lineage: Eukaryota; Fungi; Neocallimastigomycota; Neocallimastigomycetes; Neocallimastigales.
CAUAGCGACUAUCGUGGCAUAUCAAUAAGCGGAGGAAAAGAAACUAACAAGGAUUCCCUUAGUAACGGCGAGUGAAGCGGGAAGAGCUCAAAUUUGAAAUCUUCAAGGUUCUACCUUGACGAAUUGUAGUUUAUAGAAGUGUUUUCUGUUAGUAGAGUGGCAAAAGUUCUUUGGAAUAGGACAUCAUAGAGGGUGAGAAUCCCGUAUUUGGUCAUUCCUUCUAGCGUUGUGAUACACUUUCAACGAGUCGGAUUGUUUGGGAUGCAGUCCAAAAUGAGUGGUAAAUUUCAUCUAAAGCUAAAUAUUGGCGAGAGACCGAUAGCGAACAAGUACCGUGAGGGAAAGAUGAAAAGAACUUUGAAAAGAGAGUUAAACAGUACGUGAAAUUGUCAAAAGGGAAGCGUUUGACACCAGUGUUGUUUUUCCGAAAAUCAAUUACGAAUGUUUUGUUUUUGAGGAGUUAUGACUUCAUCGGCUUGCUUCUCUCUUUACGAAACUUUCUUAAUGCACUUUUCGGUUAACAAGUCAACAUCAAUUUCUUUUGUUGUAAAAGGGUAUGAGGAAGGUGGCUUUCUUUUCGGAGAAAGUGUUUAUAGCCUUGUACCUCUGCAAUCGGAGAGAUUGAGGUCUGCAGCGUAGAUCCUUCGGGGUUAGAUACAUUUGUGCUAAGUUAUAGCUUUUCAUAGACAACUUGUUGACUAUGUUAAGUCUUGUAGCUUACUCGCUUAUGCUAUUUUACCUACGCUUAGGAUGUUGACGAGACUGUCGAUCUC